Long non-coding RNA from Haliotis rubra (blacklip abalone), 136 nucleotides. RefSeq lists it as uncharacterized. The record is from RefSeq and is a predicted model, not a curated record. Lineage: Eukaryota; Metazoa; Mollusca; Gastropoda; Lepetellida; Haliotidae. The transcript has 3 exons.
CUAGCAAUUCUCGAAACGUUCGUAGCCCUAUGAACUUCUUAAGCCCAUUCUUAACACAGUGGCUACGAUGAAAGUUAAGGAUUCUUAGGGCUACGAUAGUUUCGAGAAUAAUGGCCCAGGCCAUUUUGUGCCCAGC